UACGUAGGGUGCAAGCGUUGUCCGGAAUUAUUGGGCGUAAAGAGCUCGUAGGCGGCUUGUCGCGUCGGUUGUGAAAGCCCGGGGCUUAACUCCGGGUCUGCAGUCGAUACGGGCAGGCUAGAGUUCGGUAGGGGAGAUCGGAAUUCCUGGUGUAGCGGUGAAAUGCGCAGAUAUCAGGAGGAACACCGGUGGCGAAGGCGGAUCUCUGGGCCGAUACUGACGCUGAGGAGCGAAAGCGUGGGGAGCGAACAGG
RNAcentral lists this ribosomal RNA (253 nucleotides) under uncultured bacterium. Its description in RNAcentral is "partial 16S ribosomal RNA". It matches the Rfam family "Bacterial small subunit ribosomal RNA", at positions 524 to 776 of the family's 1533-position model. The record is from RNAcentral.